GGGCCCUUAGCUCAGCUGGCAGAGCGGCGGACUCAUAAUCCGUUGGUCGCAGGUUCGAGCCCUGCAGGGCCCACGA
This 76-nucleotide transfer RNA is filed under the name bacterium. Its description in RNAcentral is "tRNA-Met". It matches the Rfam family "tRNA". Rfam says of the family: Transfer RNA (tRNA) molecules are approximately 80 nucleotides in length. Their secondary structure includes four short double-helical elements and three loops (D, anti-codon, and T loops). Further hydrogen bonds mediate the characteristic L-shaped molecular structure. tRNAs have two regions of fundamental functional importance: the anti-codon, which is responsible for specific mRNA codon recognition, and the 3' end, to which the tRNAs corresponding amino acid is attached (by aminoacyl-tRNA synthetases). tRNAs cope with the degeneracy of the genetic code in two manners: having more than one tRNA (with a specific anti-codon) for a particular amino acid; and 'wobble' base-pairing, i.e. permitting non-standard base-pairing at the 3rd anti-codon position. The record is from RNAcentral.